CGAGGGGAUGUUCCUCUGUCUAUUGAAAUGACGGUAUGCACAACUCUUGGGGCAGUAGCCCUGACUCCUCUACUAACAAAGAUAUUGGUAGGGACUUACGUCUUGUGGAUGCUGCCAAACUUCAAACAACCAAUCUUUGUCCUGGACACAGAGUAAUAUUUGAGGGGUUUCUUGUAUACCAUUUCAGUUUAUUCUUUCUGUGCUGUUAGUACAUAUUGCUGGUUUCUUUGUGCGGUAUAUAUCAGCAGCUGUUUGCGGGUUUAGAGAAGCACAAAGACGAGCAAUAUCAAUUGAUGUGUAUUAAUCAAAUAGAAUAUAAACCUUAAGACAUGAUCUGGCUUUCUGUGAAUCCUUGUGUUCCAGUUUUGUUUCGGCUUUGGUCAAAUUGGUUGGUCUGCAAAAUUCUUCUUCGGGUGUGGUUUUGGUCACUUCUCAUUUCACCUCGCCGAUGGUUGCAUUGCCCGCAGCAUUGUUUGUUGUGAUUAUGAAUAUAAUGGGAAGCAGUCUGGCAUUCUUCUGGAGAUAUAUGUAGAUCCUUCUGACUCCAAAGAGACUCCUACAGUUGAGGUUAAGUGACAACUAUAGCACCCUUGCGAAGUUUUCCCUAACCCGGCAAUAUCUACUGUGAGUAUGAAUACAAUGGGCAGCAGCAGUCUGGGUGUCCUUGGAGAUAUGUAUCCUUUUGUCUCCAUUAGUCUCUUACAGUUGAUGUUAAGUGAUAGCAGUAGCAUUUUCUAAGUUUCUCGGAGUUCAGAUUCUCUGUUUUAUUUUUUAUGUGAAGAUAUUGUUAACUAAUAGUCUAAAACAAUGUCGUUUGAGGUCA
Prunus avium (sweet cherry) is the source of this 823-nucleotide long non-coding RNA. RefSeq lists it as uncharacterized. Lineage: Eukaryota; Viridiplantae; Streptophyta; Magnoliopsida; Rosales; Rosaceae. The record is from RefSeq and is a predicted model, not a curated record.